This 257-nucleotide long non-coding RNA is filed under the name Panax ginseng (ginseng). RNAcentral describes it as "long non-coding RNA (PGIN_LNC013561)". Lineage: Eukaryota; Viridiplantae; Streptophyta; Magnoliopsida; Apiales; Araliaceae. The record is from RNAcentral.
UCUUUUAUUGCAACAAUGUUCAUUGCAAUUGUCAGCACAAAUAGUGACUUCUUCAGCGUUACUGCUAGAUUCUUCAUUACUGUUAUUAUUAGAGGAAUAAGAGAUAUUAGAACCUUCAUCAUUACUGACAUCGUUCUCAAUUCUCAUAAGCUCUAAUAUAUGUUCAACGUCUUCACUAGAGACAUUUAAUUGAUUUAAUUUUUGUUUUAUUUUACAUUCAUUUUUGUAAUGACCCUUUUGCCCACAAUUGUGGCAAA